This 775-nucleotide long non-coding RNA is filed under the name Lotus japonicus. RNAcentral's name for it is "long non-coding RNA (LJAP_LNC000865)". Lineage: Eukaryota; Viridiplantae; Streptophyta; Magnoliopsida; Fabales; Fabaceae. The record is from RNAcentral.
CUCAAACGCAGGCAGUGCGAUAAAACAUGCAAGACUCAAAGACGCGCUAAAACUGAGUUACCCUUACCUUCGUGAGUAGUAGUGCAUAGAAGUUGCGAACCUCGUGAUCUUUCAGAUCAAAAAUUAAUCGUUGUAGAAAAUACUAAGCAUCAAGAUCCUAGCUUCCGCUCCAAAACUCAAGAAUCUUCUCACACUCAAGAUAAAAACUCAAGAAUUUACACCAACAACUAAUGACACAACUAGUAUUAUUAGGAGUAAUAUAUGAGAACAAAGCUCUGUGUGUGUUUUCUUCUUCUUUUUUUUGGAAGCCUUCACGUUGCUCCUUAAAUAGCAUGAAGUCUCAAUGCUUCGGAGUGAAGAAAUCACCCAGCAAUUGGCACGUCCAGCUUGAGGAAAAGGAGGAGGUGGAAUGCUUAGAGGAAAGCAAGCUUUUUAGGUGGUGAUGACUCAUGAAGCAAGGAGGAGGUGGUGUGUUUGGAAGAAAUCCACCAUGCAAACAAGCCUGAGGUGCCAUGUUAGAAACAUGCAAAUAAGCAGGAUCUGUCCAGUUUCUUUUUCUUAAUUAGAGGUUUAUGAGAGGGUGAACGGUUGUCCUUGGUCUAGGUGUCGAGUAGUCAUGGGUUGUAGUGUGUGUUGUGUCAAGAUUUGAGUGGGGAGUUGGGCACGUGGUACUCCCCCAAAGGCCACGAGAAUUCUGACAAAAGAAUGGUAAAUGAAUACUAAAACAAAGUUGGAAUCAGAAUGGUUAGACUUAUAGGAUAAAGUAAAGUGUUAG